CAAUGUGUUGAGGUAAAGCUUCCAACUGCUCCCCUUUAGCAGCAGCCAAGCAGCCUUUGCUGUGGUUAGGAGGAACGGGGAGGGGGAGGCGAUGGGGCCGAGCCAGAGCAGGAGGUGGAAGGCACCAGCCCCAAAUAUUUUUUCCUCUCCCACCCACUCAUGCUACUACUGGCACGUUUAUUCCUGCAAGCACCGAUCCCUCGUGACUCAAGCAACACAAAACAGACCCGGCUCCUCUGCAACACCCACAUCAAGUACUCCCUCCUACAAGAAAGCCAGUCCAUGUGUUAGGCCUUUCCGACAACAAACCUCCUCUCUCAUGCCUCGAGUCCUCAAAUUCUCCAUUGACAUCUCUGCUGCCAGCGUGGCCGGUGGGGUCUUAUCAGCCGGGGCAAUGCAGCUGCAGGGGAGUCAAUCCUGACACCCCCAGGAGGACACAUCCUGCUAUCCAGCCGCUUGCAGCAGCAGAUAAGGGCUACGUUACACCCAGCUCAAGGCGGCUUGCAAAACUACGCCCGGGAGGCUCCCAGGAAUUAGGACACCGCGAUGAGGAGCUGCAGGGGAGCCAGUGUGAUCUGAAUGGAGCAUAAAGGGUGGAACCACUGAACGAACAAAUAAAACCAGGACACUGAAACCAGGCUAGUGCUCUUCUAGCAACGUCACCUCUGCAGACAGCAGCCUGGUUUCCCCAGCGGGACCCACGGGCACCCCGAGAUCACAGCCGAGACGGGGGUGACUCACGCGAGCGGGGCACGCCGGCACGCCUGACGUGCAGGAGGGCUGACACGGUGCAACGCCGAGAGCAGGAAGGAGAGAUGAAAACCUCUGGCCAUGGGGGACCAGGGCUAUCCUCCCUCAGGAAACCCUCUGAUUAGAAGCUGAAAUUUCAGGUUCAUUUACUCAUCUGAUUAUUUGCUGUGAGGUAACGACGACUUGGUCUUUACUGCAGGGAGGAGAUUUCCCCAAAAAGCCAAACAACUCUGCAGCCAUGAAAUAUAAAUCACCUGUUACCAGAUGUAAGGCCUGAAUCCAGCUGGGGACCCUCUGUCCUCAGGCUUUCCAGGUGCAAAAGAAACAGAAAGCCCCUGUCUCAACAGGUUUUCAAUUUAGGACAAAAAGAUAACAGAUGGAUGCAGACAGACAGGUGCCCCAGGAGAUACCAGGAGGCAGUAAGAAUCACUACACUAGUUGUAGAGUAUUAAAGGCACCUUGGGAGAGAAUCAUGUACUGCUAGUUUAAGGAUUUAACAACUGAGUAAUGGGAUCAUCAGCUAAGGAAGGUAGGACCUGACAUCCGAGGCAGGAGAGAGAGAUGAGGGAGGGUGGGGAUGCGCCUCAAAAGUGAGCCUGAGCAGCCUACGUUUGAUGUGAUAAAGAAAGCAGCACGGGAAGGAGUCACAGAGAAGAUUGGUGUGACCAAAGCAAUGGGCUUUAACCCCAGGCCAGCAGCAUUUUCAACCAGCUUUGUGUAUUUUCUUCCUCUGGUAUGGAUUCCUGUCAUCUGACGUUCCCAGGGAACUUAUGCAGUGUGGGAGACCCAACAGCCGAUCUGCUGGAGACUGAAAUUACCUGGUUGCCUCUUCAGUGGCCAACCGCUUCAUCUUUUGCAGUGUCACUGAGAGUGGAGAGCCAGGGGCAGCAGGGACCUGAGCAAACCUGCUUCUUUCCUCAACAAGGUAAAUCCAUCACAUUUCUGCAACAAACUGUGCUGUCAGGCCAAAAUCUUCCCAGGGAGCACAAGCCCCGUCACAGCCAGACUGACUCCUGCUGCGUUGGCAGGACUCAGCCUGCCCUUCUCCAUCCCUCCCUCACCUAGUCCUCCUCUCCCUCACCUAGUCCUCCUCUCCCUCACCUAGUCCUCCUCUCCCUCCUCAUCCUUGCCAGGAAGCCAGCCUGGCUCCUCGCCGUGCCUUACCUGCGCUCCCAGUGCUGGAGGAGAGCUGACUCCAUGCAGGAGCUGCUGUGGUGAGCCAAGCGCUCGCUUCCAUUUUCACGGUGGAAAAGGACACUCUCGAAGCAGCAUUAAACUCAGUGGCACGUUAAAUGACUUUAAGUUCAUCUUAUGCGUAGAGGCCUAAGAAGCCUCUUGUUUCCUCUGUAAAUAAUUAGGGGGAGUUUGCUGAGGUCUGACGAGGCUGCUCGUGGCUGCAGCUCGAGCUGCUCCUGCAUUUCCACCGCAGAGCACUCAGGGGCAUGGGGAGCAGAGAGCCCGAGGGCUCAGAGGCAUCAUUUGGCACUACAGCAUUUGCAAAGACAAAGCCAAUUUUCCUGUUGCAGCGGCACAUUUAGAAAGUGUUUGACUUAUGGGAGGAAGGGGAAGGAGGCCUGUCCUCUCUACCCUCCAUAGCCACCCAGUUGGGCUUUGAAGGGACAGGGCUGUGACUGGUUGCGAUGUACCAGGUACCUGUGGAUGGAGGGAGGCCGGCUAUGAUGAGCCUGGCAGCAGGGGACCGGCUGCAGCGCACGUGCCUGGACAGCCCACCAUGGUUCGCUGGCCAGAGGAACGAGCCCCGCCGCUCGCUAAGGGAGCGGGACGAACGCCCCACUCACCAGUUUGGGUUAUGCUGCUACCACCGACACAAACCCACGCCUCUGCCAAUGCCACCUCUCUGUGCCACUCUCACCUUAACUCUGCUCGUUUCCCAGACCCCCCCAGAAGCUGUGGGGAAGGGUCCAAAGCAACCCCCUCACAGCUCCCUCCUUGGCUCACCCGUCCCCGUGCUGAUCAGCCAUCGCAUUUACACAGAGCAUGUGUCAGUAACGAUCCAUCAGCUCAUCUCUGCUCAGCUCACCCAGAAACCCGCUCCGUGGCUCUGUGCAACCAAUGAUGGUGAAAAGUCAAAUCAAUGCUGCACAGAAACGACUGAAAGUGGCUUCCUGUUCAUCCAUUGGCCCCCAAAGCCCUCUCCCCCUCCCCUCUGUUUUUAGAAAGGGAAUAUUUUAAAGACUAAUUCUCUUACAAGGAGCCCUGAGUAGGAGAAAGGAACAGUUCGUACUCAACAGAGUUUCUCUGGCUUGGCUGCCAUUCACUCGUCAAUCAAACGGACACCCAUGAGCGCUCGUAAACAGCUCUGAGAUAUCUGGGAAUGCUGAAUGUCAAUGAAUUGAUGCUGGUCAGCUUGAUGGCCAAGUGUACUGGAAAAAGAGCAUCAGCACAUAUUUUGGCUUUUAGGUGUUCACUUCGUGUUUGUAGAUGCUUUGACAUUUAAAGCAGGCUUUCCACUGGCUAUGUGGAGCUUAUUUCCCCCUUGUCAAAUUAAAUUAAAAAAAAAAAAAAAGAAAAAAAAGCCCUUUUCACUUUAAAAAAAACAAAGUUUACCUUUUCCACUGUGCCAGAAAAUCAGAUAUAAAUGACUUGAGAUGCAGCCUGGCUGCCAGUUAAGGCUGUCAGCAGAUGUUACUUGCAGCAGAAUAUUGCCUUGGUUCACAGGUUAUCAUGUCACCUGUCUUAAACAUCCACUGCUUUACUGACACCACUGUAGUUUGGUGAGUGGCAGAGUAACGUAUGCAGGACCUUGUGUCAGUGCUGGUCUAAAAGCAGUGGUGGUUCAUCGGUGCUAGCUUUUCCCCUGCUGCUGUUCCUUAGGCAAUACCAGAAGAAGCUGUUGGCAGCGGAGCAGCUCGCUGCCUCUUCAAAAGCCCAUAUUUUAGGAGUCCCAAAAUGCAGGGGAUUGGUGAGGGAGGUUGGGGGUGUCAAUUCAAUCUGGGGAGCCCGUGAAGAACAGAGAUGUCAGAGAAGUCCAGGAGAAAUGAUCAUGUUAGAAGGGAUGUGGUACUGGCUGCAAAUUUGUGUUUGUGUGCAGCAAACUGGCCCCUCUGAAUCCAAAACCGUGAUGGCACGGGAGAGUUCUGUGAGAGAGUUCUUUUCUUCUUGUAAAAGGAAAUUUUUUUCUGGAUUACCUACGGAAUUAGUUAUUGUCCUGUUGGUGC
Aquila chrysaetos chrysaetos is the source of this 3929-nucleotide long non-coding RNA. RefSeq lists it as uncharacterized. The transcript has 3 exons. The record is from RefSeq and is a predicted model, not a curated record. NCBI's taxonomy places the organism in Eukaryota, Metazoa, Chordata, Aves, Accipitriformes, Accipitridae.